Molecule: microRNA, 22 nt
Filed under: Rattus norvegicus (Norway rat)
Lineage: Eukaryota; Metazoa; Chordata; Mammalia; Rodentia; Muridae
Description: Rno-Mir-676_5p* (star (passenger))
Source: RNAcentral
CUCUGCAACCUUAGGACUUGCA